Molecule: ribosomal RNA, 540 nt
Filed under: uncultured bacterium
Lineage: Bacteria
Description: bacterial SSU rRNA
Rfam family: Bacterial small subunit ribosomal RNA
Source: RNAcentral
GAGGAAUAUUGGUCAAUGGAUGCAAAUCUGAACCAGCCAAGUAGCGUGCAGGAUGACGGCCCUAUGGGUUGUAAACUGCUUUUAUGUGAGAAUAAAGUUAGGUAUGUAUACUUAUUUGCAUGUAUCACAUGAAUAAGGACCGGCUAAUUCCGUGCCAGCAGCCGCGGUAAUACGGAAGGUCCAGGCGUUAUCCGGAUUUAUUGGGUUUAAAGGGUGCGUAGGCCGUUUGAUAAGCGUGCUGUGAAAUAUAGUGGCUCAACCUCUAUCGUGCAGCGCGAACUGUUGAACUUGAGUGCGUAGUAGGUAGGCGGAAUUCGUGGUGUAGCGGUGAAAUGCUUAGAUAUCACGAAGAACUCCGAUUGCGAAGGCAGCUUACCGUAACGUUACUGACGCUUAAGCACGAAGGUGCGGGUAUCGAACAGGAUUAGAUACCCUGGUAGUCCGCACAGUAAACGAUGGAUGCUCGCUGUUGGCCUUUUGUGGUCAGUGGCUUAGCGAAAGCGUUAAGCAUCCCACCUGGGGAGUACGCCGGCAACGGUG